RNAcentral lists this ribosomal RNA (367 nucleotides) under uncultured organism. Its description in RNAcentral is "bacterial SSU rRNA". It matches the Rfam family "Bacterial small subunit ribosomal RNA", at positions 527 to 896 of the family's 1533-position model. The record is from RNAcentral.
GAAGGGUGCAAGCGUUAUCCGGAUUCAUUGGGUUUAAAGGGUGCGUAGGCGGGGCGUUAAGUCAGUGGUGAAAUCCUGCAGCUUAACUGUAGAAUUGCCAUUGAUACUGGCGCUCUUGAGUACGCUUGACGUGGGCGGAAUGUGCCGUGUAGCGGUGAAAUGCUUAGAUAUGGCACAGAACACCGAUCGCGAAGGCAGCUCACGAAGGCGAAACUGACGCUGAGGCACGAAAGCGUGGGGAUCGAACAGGAUUAGAUACCCUGGUAGUCCACGCUGUAAACGAUGAUCACUCGUGAUCGGCGAUACACGGCCGGUCACCUAGCGAAAGCGUUAAGUGAUCCACCUGGGGAGUACGAUCGCAAGAUUG